Molecule: non-coding RNA, 47 nt
Filed under: Drosophila guanche
Lineage: Eukaryota; Metazoa; Arthropoda; Insecta; Diptera; Drosophilidae
Rfam family: Histone 3' UTR stem-loop
About the family: The mRNAs of metazoan histone genes lack a poly-A tail.
Source: RNAcentral
CAAAAGGCUCUUUUCAGAGCCACCAAACUGUUGGGCAAAGAGCAUUU